RNAcentral lists this long non-coding RNA (2638 nucleotides) under Marmota monax (woodchuck). The record is from RNAcentral. Lineage: Eukaryota; Metazoa; Chordata; Mammalia; Rodentia; Sciuridae.
CUACCCACUUCCAAAACACUCCUCCCCUGACCAUCGGGAAUUAAUGUCACAAGCCUCAGAGCUCAGAGGCUAAGCCCAAGUGGGACACGGGACCACCACCCCCCGCCCCUCCCACUUCCAAGCUGGUCCAGCUGCACCCCCCACUGCCGCCCGCCCUUGCCCCCAAGGACCCCCGGGGCAUCCACCUUGGCCCAUCGUGGAUGGUAAAUACCUCCUGGGGAGCUGCUGGGGAAAGCGACCGCCUAUUUCCCAAGCCUGGGGUCCCCAGCCCCGCUCCUUAAAUCCUCCCCAGAGCCCAGAGCCCUCCUCCCUUGGUCCCCCAGGACGUCAUGUCAUGUAGUCACUUGAUGAAUGUUGAUCAAGGGCCUCCUGGGCUUCUGGGGAAAAAACGGGGGUGGAAAGUGGCCUCUGCCUUGGGUGUCCUGGGGUCCGGUGGGAGAGUAGGAAGAGUUCUGAGCCUGAGGGGUCCCUGGGAGCCCCCAGCCCCAAUUAAGAGCCCUCAAGGAAGGCUUUUUGGAGGAGGAGACUUCUGAACGGUGUCUUGAAAUUUAAGUAGAGUGGGAGUGGGGAGUAGGGAACAGUGUGCCAGGAAGGAGGAACAGCCUAUGCACAGGCUCAGAGGCAAGACCAUGGUUUACCGGGGGCUGAAGCUGCCUGCGGGCACCUGCCUGCCCUUCCCUGCCUUACCCCAGCUAGAAAGUGCUCUUGGCUCAGACGUGGAGACCUUGAUUCUCUCCUGGGCCUUGCUAUUACCUCAGUAUCGGGCCGGGGGAUGUCCAAGCAUGGUCUGUGCUUGCUGCAGUCUGGCCCUGUCUGCUGCCGCCUGCCCCCGCACCGUGGAGGGUGAGUUCCGGCUCUUCUGUGUCCCAGCACCGGGUUCCGCUGUCCUCGGGCAUCUCUGCUGCACCUGGGUCGUCUCUACUCUUCUCUCUGAAGCAUUUUUCUUCUCUGUCUUUGCUUCUGCUCCUCCUUGGCCUCCUCUUGGGUCUGAUUUCUUCGAGGCCCACAGAUCUGACUUGCCACACCCGAAAGCCUCCCCCAGCAGUCUCCCUGUGGCCUCUUCCCUGAACAGUUUAAGGCCACUGAAGGGUUGAGAUCGAGAACGUGCGUGAACGUGGAAAGGCACCCGAGGAAAGACCCUUCACAAAAGGCCCCCAGAUACACAUUCCAGUUGUGAUGGGUUGUUAGAGAGGUGGCUGAAGAAGACCCCGGGGUCCUAGUGGGCCACAAGCUAGGUCUGUAAUACAGGGUGGAGGAGGAUGCACCAUCACUGUCGGUGGGAUAGUGCAUCCUUGGUUGCUGUGAACACCCGGCAGGGCUCGGAGGACAGAAAACACAGCACCUCUGCUGACUCUGGGACUCCCAGGGUGAGUGUGGUUGUGCGUUCACCUGCUUGGUUUUGACUCACACACGGCUCUCGAGCCGGUCCCUGCUGUGGCUCACUGUCUCGCUGACAGCAGCAGCGAUUCUUUCCUGGUAUUCCUGGGUGUCCUUGCUGCAGCCCUGGCUGAUCCCGAGGUGGCUCAGGGCGGUGAAUGAAAUCGUCACUGUCAGUUGCGUCACACAAUACCUGGCACACAGUAGGUGCUCAAUAAGUGUGGCUUCUCUAUCUCCCAACUGAACUCCCCCCCCCAGAACUCCACCUCCUGGGGGCAUUCCUGAAAAGACAGGGGACUGGACCAGAGAGGAAGGGGGUGUCCCCUGUGUCCCUAGAGGCUGGAGUUCAGACCGUCCCCAGCUGUCCUGGGGCUAAGCAUCCCUAAGGCUCCAUCCUAAAGAGCCAGAGAGUCCCUGGCGAGCCCCGCGAGCCCCUGCCCACCACGGUCCUCGUAGAAGCAGGACCUUCUUCCUCCAGGCCCCGAGGGGGAGGCCCAGGGGGGUCACAGGGGCACGGAGCUGAGCAGCCUGGCCUGUGACCGUGCGGGGCUGAGACCCUCCCAAAGUCGGGUGGUCAGUGUCCCCACCCAGGCCUCCAGAGUCUCUCUCCCCCGGACCUUUGUCCUUGCCCUGGGGUCCACUCCACGGACUGACCGCACGACUCUCUGGGCUGGUGGCUCUCGACGUCGUGGACCUUAGGCAACAUCCUCAAUUGUAAAAAGGCUUUCUGUGUAAAUGACGCUGUCACCUUUUUCUAUCGCCAAGUACCUAGAGCCCUAUAAAUAUUAUACAUAUAUAUCAAAGAGAUGGCGCCGCACAGAGCCAGGGGACUGACCCCACGGCGCUGUCUUCUCUGUGUCCGGCCGCCCGUCCCAGAGGAGCCGGUGGAUGAGGUUGGUCUCUCGCUGUCCCCCGGGCCACUCCUUCCCCUCUCUUUCCCUCUGGACUCUGUCCGUCUGGUCUCUGUCUCUGUCACUCGCUGCCCACGUCUCACUGCUGGGAAGGAAUGUUGGAUUCCGAUGCUGUCCGGGGAAGGAGGCCGGAUGGAGGAGGGUCCACCGUGUAUAUUUGUACAGAAUCAUUUAUAACGUUUUCUACUAACUUCUCAAAAAGUCUUUCUAACUCGGGCUGUUGGACACUUUGUGAGCCUCUGAGCCGGCAGGCCUACCGUUUCUUGUGUUUAGUGCAAUGUUUAGUGAGAAUCCAAUGUCUGAACUAUUUAUGCCAAUAAAGAACCUGAGACUUCCUGCAUCACACUGCC